GUCCCCUACCCAGCCCCGGCCCGGCCCGGCCCGGCCGCUAGGGGACCCUCCUAGGAGGGACCAGCCCCUGCCCCUGCCCGCGUGCGAGGUGUCGGGGUCCCUGGCAGGGUUGGCAGGGGCCGGGGGAUUCUUUUCCGACGCGGAGGCAACAGCAUGAGCAGCCGCGCAACCAGCACUACGUCAUGCGGCGCCAAGGACGAAACCGGGCUCCUCGGCUGCGCGCGCCAUCAGCCGUGCCUGGGCUUCUACCGCCGCCUGCACCUCGGGGUCCCCCCCCCGGGCACCCCCUCGGCUGCGGCACCUCAGGGCUAGAGAGGCCUCAACUAGAGCCCCAUGUCCUUUUUCUGGACCCCAGACUUUCAGAAAGAAGUUGACACAUUGGAGGACGAUCUGAAGAGAGCAACAUGAAUGAGAAGAGGCUUGGAAAACAUGACCAGCACGGAAAGAUGGAGGGCACUGAGUCAGUUUCUUCCCCCAAGCAGAUUUCAGCAUUACAAAACAAGAGAAGUCUCAUUUGGAGCUGGACAGGCCACAAUAACCACCUUCCUGCGUUCACCCAAGCCAGCUGGAGGUGAAUCUGAUUGCUACCAUUCAUCAAAAAGUGCACAGGCUCAGGCCAGUCAUGAGUCAAUCAUGAUGCACCUGAUUCUGGGUGAGAGCUUGCCACUGCGAAUAGUGGAGUCACAAGGAUGUCUCAACUUUAUGCAAACGGUUGAUCCUCGGUACAAGCCUUUGUGCAGGCAGACCAUGAAAAAAGAUGAUCACCCACAAGGCAAACGACCUGAAGUACGAAAUAACUGAGAAGCUUGCAAAAUGUGAAGCUGUCAACACUACACUGAAUUUAUGGACAGAUAGAACGAUGCAAUCUUUCCUUGGUGUAACAGCACAUCAUGGAAGAUGACGGUGAGGGAAUUAAAUUGGCAACAUACACUCUGGCUUGUGAACAUUUUAUGGGUAGGCACACGGGUGACAGGAUUACAUCAGCAUUUGACAAAAUACUUGAGUACUAUAGAAUCAGGAACAAACUUGAUUUUUAUCAUCACUGACAAUGCUUCAAAUAUCAAGAAAGCAUUCACAACAGCUUUCUCAGGGCUGGUGAGGACACUGCAGAGCUGGCAGAAGAUGGGGUAGAGUCAUCCAUUGAUUCAGCAGCUGACCUUGCUGAUGACACUCUUUGGGAGCUGCUAGAUGAUGUGGACCAGCAUGAGUUAGACUCCAUGUUCUUCAACACAACACGGGUGUGUUGUUUGUCAUGUUUCGCCCAUACUCUUCAGGUCUGUGUCAGUGAUGGGCUCAAGGAGUGUAAAGGUAAGAAAAAAAUGUCAGGUUCAAAGUUGAAACUUUGAACCGAUAAUUUCAGAGUAAAUGCUGGCAGCAGCAAAUGCAGUUUUGCAAAAUAAUGAACCAUGAAAGCUGUUAAAGAUGUCAGUGAUCAACCACAGGAAACAUCUUGGCAGCAGUUCUGUGACAACAGCUUAACAAAAAGCGAAAUAAAAUC
Long non-coding RNA from Alligator sinensis (Chinese alligator), 1498 nucleotides. RefSeq lists it as uncharacterized. NCBI's taxonomy places the organism in Eukaryota, Metazoa, Chordata, Crocodylia, Alligatoridae. The record is from RefSeq and is a predicted model, not a curated record. The transcript has 3 exons.